This 577-nucleotide ribosomal RNA is filed under the name uncultured bacterium. RNAcentral's name for it is "bacterial SSU rRNA". It matches the Rfam family "Bacterial small subunit ribosomal RNA", at positions 338 to 917 of the family's 1533-position model. The record is from RNAcentral.
CCUACGGGAGGCAGCAGUGAGGAAUAUUGGACAAUGGGCGCAAGCCUGAUCCAGCCAUGCCGCGUGCAGGAAGACGCAUCUAUGGUGUGUAAACUGCUUUUGUACGGGAAGAAACACUCCCUCGUGAGGGAGCUUGACGGUACCGUAAGAAUAAGGAUCGGCUAACUCCGUGCCAGCAGCCGCGGUAAUACGGAGGAUCCAAGCGUUAUCCGGAAUCAUUGGGUUUAAAGGGUCCGUAGGCGGUUUAAUAAGUCAGUGGUGAAAGCCCAUCGCUCAACGAUGGAACGGCCAUUGAUACUGUUAGACUUGAAUUACUAGGAAGUAACUAGAAUAUGUAGUGUAGCGGUGAAAUGCUUAGAUAUUACAUGGAAUACCAAUUGCGAAGGCAGGUUACUACUAGUGGAUUGACGCUGAUGGACGAAAGCGUGGGGAGCGAACAGGAUUAGAUACCCUGGUAGUCCACGCCGUAAACGAUGGAUACUAGCUGUUGGGCGCAAGUUCAGUGGCUAAGCGAAAGUGAUAAGUAUCCCACCUGGGGAGUACGUUCGCAAGAAUGAAACUCAAAUGAAUUGACCGG